Molecule: RNA transcript, 3603 nt
Organism: Oncorhynchus masou masou (cherry salmon)
Lineage: Eukaryota; Metazoa; Chordata; Actinopteri; Salmoniformes; Salmonidae
Gene name: casein kinase I
Exons: 12
Source: RefSeq, a predicted model, not a curated record
CCCCCAGUGUUUCUCGCGCCCGCCUGCGCCUUGUUCUGAAGCUAAGCUAGCUAGAAUCACCUCGAGACGGACAGUGCAUUUUUGUGGAGUAGUGACAAGAAAAUGGCGGAGUGAGUGGGUUGCGCUUUGAAGGAAAGCAGCGACCCUAGGUUUCCGUAAAAUAUAAUACGAACAAAGGAGAGUCACAUAAAAGCUGUAACUUUCAUCGAAAAUUUGACAAACAAGAACAAUAUUGCCCCUCUCGCGGAGGUGGUACAAACAGAUUAUCGAACCAGGCUUCGCAGUACCACUGGUGUCAUUUCGAUAGCUCGACGCUAGCAGGCUAGCGACGAGGCACUGGGCGACGGACUAACACGGCACAUUAGAAGUGUUUUCAGAAUAAUUGUUUGGCCUUUUUCGUGAUAAGUGUUGGGUUUAUUUUGUAUGUUUUUUACUAGCUAGCUUGUGAAUAUCGCAUGAGAAUAAACAAAGUCUGUCCUAGUUCGCUAACAUUACAUUGUUUCAAGUACAUAGCCUACGACCAACCAGGAUUGUAUGUUCACGAUAUGUUCUGAUAACGAGCUGGCCGAGUAGGGGAACCGACGGAGCAGUCCCAGAAAAUACUAUUUUAAACUGAUUGGGGUUGCUCGUGAUUUUGAGGAUAUGGCAAGCAGCAGCGGCUCAAAAGCCGAAUUCAUUGUUGGUGGAAAAUACAAACUUGUCAGAAAAAUUGGAUCUGGAUCAUUUGGUGACAUAUACCUGGCGAUCAACAUCACAAAUGGAGAGGAGGUAGCUGUAAAAUUGGAAUCUCAGAAAGCCAGACACCCACAGUUGUUAUAUGAAAGCAAACUGUACAAAAUAUUACAAGGAGGAGUUGGAAUCCCACACAUAAGGUGGUAUGGCCAAGAAAAGGACUACAAUGUCCUAGUGAUGGACCUGCUGGGACCUAGUCUGGAAGACCUCUUCAACUUCUGCUCGCGCAGGUUCACAAUGAAAACUGUACUAAUGCUCGCAGACCAGAUGAUCAGCAGAAUCGAGUAUGUGCACACAAAGAACUUCAUUCACAGAGAUAUCAAGCCAGACAACUUUUUAAUGGGUAUUGGCCGUCACUGUAACAAGUGUUUGGAAUCUCCAGUGGGGAAGAGGAAAAGAAGCUUGGCUGUUAGUUCUUCUCAGGACCCAUCUUUCUCAGGAUUAAACCAGUUGUUCCUCAUCGACUUUGGUCUGGCCAAAAAAUACCGGGACAACAGGACACGACAGCACAUACCUUACCGAGAAGACAAGAAUCUCACUGGCACAGCACGCUAUGCCAGCAUCAACGCGCACCUGGGCAUCGAGCAGAGUCGCCGAGAUGACAUGGAGUCGCUAGGCUACGUCCUGAUGUACUUCAACAGAACCAGCCUGCCCUGGCAGGGUCUAAAGGUAGGCCAGGCUGCCACAAAGAAACAGAAGUACGAGAAGAUUAGCGAGAAGAAGAUGUCCACUCCAGUCGAGGUUUUGUGUAAGGGUUUCCCAGCAGAGUUCGCCAUGUACCUGAACUACUGCCGUGGGCUGCGGUUCGAGGAGGCACCUGACUACAUGUACCUGCGUCAGCUGUUCCGCAUUCUCUUCAGGACUUUGAACCACCAGUAUGACUACACGUUUGACUGGACGAUGCUGAAGCAGAAAGCAGCCCAGCAGGCUGCGUCCUCAGGGGGACAGGGGCAACCGGCACAAACUCCCUCAGUCUAUCCCCUCCCUCUCGUAGAGGGUAUCCCGGGUGCCCAGGGUUGAUGGCAGAGGAGUCAACCCAAUUUUUCAAUAAACCUGAAGCAGUUUUCAUCAGGUUUCUGAGCAGUAAGACAAUGAAAGGAAGCAGAGCAGAGUGGCCGUAGCAGGAUUUGCCUUCCAAUCACACCCCGGCAUCUAGGAUCAAAUUCACCAGAACCUGCCAGGCAUUGUGGGCAACCCUUUUUUCCUGUUAAAGAACUUUCCUUCCAUAUACUAUAUAUGUAAUCGCUCUAUAUAGAUAACAUGCUCUGCAUAUAUCUAUAUAUUGGUAUGUAUAUACUAUAUCCACACAGAAAGCAGGCUUGGUAUGGAAUUUUCCGAAGCUGUAGCCUUCUCUAUUGGCCUGUCCCUGAAGAUUUUUUGUUUCUUCAAAACGGAAAACUAAGAAAUGGUUGGCUCACUGCGGAUGUUUGUGCACCUGCCAAUACUUUCCCCUUGAUACUUUCUCCCUCUGAGAGCUGCUGUUUGGGUGCCUCCCUCACCUCAUGGCUGCCUGUCAGAGCAGCUUUGCCCCCAUUCCCUCUGUCACCGAGUGUGGCAUGAUGACCCAGACACACGUCAGUCAGAUUGAACAUUUGAAACAACCAUUUUCUCUUCCUUAUUCAACCUAUUUCCCUCAUCCUCAAGCAAAAUGAAAGAUGUAAUCUGAAACUGUUUCCUUUAUGAAAAGGUAAUUAAGAUUCUGCCUGCAGAUAUGUGCUAGAAGAGCUUCUAAUGUGAAGAUGAAAACACUAGGUUUCUCUUUAGAAUGCUGCAUUAAUAUUGUACUUCUGAAGUCUCAAACAACGAAUAAAAAAUAUGAACUCCACAAAAGCAUAUUCAUUAUAAAUUAGGCACCACUUGACUAAACCUAAUUGUAAAUUGCUUAGAAAAAAUGUUGCAUCAAUGAAUUUAUUUUGAAAAUGUUUUAUGUAAUUGCUAUGAAGGAUGGCCUCAAUGUUCUGUUUUUGAGACAGACAAAUGUGCUCACUCCACCCGCCCUUCCUGUUAUAAUUUAUAUAUAUAUAUACACUUUUAAAUCAGAACUUUUUUUCCCUUUCCGUUUUAUAGUCGUCUUUCCCUGCAUUGAAUUGAUCAUUUUGGGGAAAGGGUGUUUUUGUUACUUUCUAAGGGGAUGCAGAUCCUGUUGUAAAAUACUCUGGGACUUUCUCUCUGCAACUACAUAUUGCUGCUGCAUAGAGUAGCAACCGUUUCCUAAUUUUCCUUUUUUUUUAUUGCGAAGAAAGUGUUGGAGGGUUUCUUUUUUUUAUAUAUACUUUGAGUCUUGUAAGGCAAGUACCAUUUGGAUUUCAGUCAGCCUGUAGUCACAACAGAUGUACACCAGGGGCAGUUUGUCCUAUUCCCCCUGACCCAGCAUUAGCUAUUUUCAGCUGGACGUUCUAUAAAAGUGUAAUUUAUUCCCUUUUAGCAUGUCAGAAUAAAUUCAAAUGACUUGUCAGCACCACUGUCCCAGUCUGUAAUUUGAAGAACACACUGACUUCUUAUGCCUUAUGCCUGGAUGAUGAUGAUGGCUGUUGAAAAAAAAGCAUUUUUUUUGCUUUCCAUUUGCUUGUCUUUACACAUUUACCUGUUGACGACCACACAACCUUAGUAUUGUAAGCAUUUGGAAACUGGAGACAUCGGCAGGAUUGGGGAUAGAUAAGGAAAUACUUUCUUCAAAGAUAUCAGACUCCGAUUGCUCUAGACAAAGGGACACAUUUGUGGAAAUGGUCUAAAAAGGUAUUGCUGUAAUCUAGAAAAAGCAGUUCCUGGUAAAAUGAUGUUGAAGGGUAGUUGUAGGUGCUUGUGGUGGUGUUUUGAAAAAAAAAUCUUCCAGGAUUUAUAUCUGUAAAUAUUAAAAUGGCUUCAAAUGGC